Molecule: ribosomal RNA, 497 nt
Filed under: uncultured bacterium
Lineage: Bacteria
Description: partial 16S ribosomal RNA
Rfam family: Bacterial small subunit ribosomal RNA
Source: RNAcentral
GACGAACGCUGGCGGCGUGCCUAAUACAUGCAAGUUGAGCGCUGAAGGUUGGUACUUGUACCAACUGGAUGAGCAGCGAACGGGUGAGUAACGCGUGGGGAAUCUGCCUUUGAGCGGGGGACAACAUUUGGAAACGAAUGCUAAUACCGCAUAAAAACUUUAAACACAAGUUUUAAGUUUGAAAGAUGCAAUUGCAUCACUCAAAGAUGAUCCCGCGUUGUAUUAGCUAGUUGGUGAGGUAAAGGCUCACUAAGGCGAUGAUACAUAGCCGACCUGAGAGGGUGAUCGGCCACAUUGGGACUGAGACACGGCCCAAACUCCUACGGGAGGCAGCAGUAGGGAAUCUUCGGCAAUGGACGAAAGUCUGACCGAGCAACGCCGCGUGAGUGAAGAAGGUUUUCGGAUCGUAAAACUCGGUUGGUAGAGAAGAACGUUGGUGAGAGUGGAAAGCUCAUCAAGUGACGGUAACUACCCAGAAAGGGACGGCUAACUACGUG